GUCCUUUGAUAAGCCACAGCCAAUGAAUUGGUGGUUACGUUCUUAUACUAUUAUUUAACUGAUGCUUACCAAGUUCGCUGUAGAUCACCAUCAACAACAAACCGAUUUGCUCUUUUUAACAAACCAUCAAGUGCACCCCAAAUUUGAUUGUUAUUUUGAAUAAAAUAAUUUCACUGAUCAAGAGAUUUCCAGGACAUCUGUCCAAAAUUGAAGUAGAGAAAGUAUUAUCUAAAGAUGGCCAGAAUUGGAACAUUGUCCUCCAGUAUUGCCUUAAAGCCUAUUAUGCCUACCUAAGUUUGUUUAUGCAAUAAAACCUGAGCUAGUUCAAGCUAAGCUGGCUCGAAAAUAGGAGUACAAAAGACCGUCAUGAAUAUCUUGAAACCAGUACCUGUUAGAUGUUCAAAGCACUUCAACAUUACCUUUCACACAAAAAUCUUUAAACCUCUAACUGACUGGUUUUGAACCUGAAACAACAAUGUGGACAAAAGUCCGCAGAAACUAUGGCCAUUCCUAUAAAU
RNAcentral lists this unclassified non-coding RNA (518 nucleotides) under Hevea brasiliensis (rubber tree). The record is from RNAcentral. Lineage: Eukaryota; Viridiplantae; Streptophyta; Magnoliopsida; Malpighiales; Euphorbiaceae.